RNAcentral lists this long non-coding RNA (601 nucleotides) under Marmota monax (woodchuck). The record is from RNAcentral. Lineage: Eukaryota; Metazoa; Chordata; Mammalia; Rodentia; Sciuridae.
AGCUGCUUCCACGAAAAGUCACCUUGUAAUUAUGAAUCCCGCGUAGAGCAUCGCUCAGACAAGCAUACAGUAAGUGAUCAAUAAGUUUUGCAGAAAAGAAGGGCUGGCUGGUUGAUUUCCUGAAAGGAGGAGCAGAAAGUGAGAAUGAAUGGCGUGACUCUAAUCUGACAGUUUGGGCAUCUCAAGGAGCUACUGCAGAGUUCAUAAAAGUCCAAAUAAUUUGCCCAGAAACCUUUUCUCUGGAAUGAGUCAGCACUCACUAAGGAAAGACGGUAAACUCCAACAUCCAACAAAGGCAUGAAUUUGAAAUAAGAUGCAAAGUUGCUGAACAGUUAACCGGCAAAUGUGACUAACCAGAAGAGCUAACCCUAUAAAAAUGAUAAGCUGUUUUAGAGAAAAACACAUGAAGAGUGUGCUUUUCGGGAGGGUUGACUGAGUGGGUACAGCACAAAGACCUUCAUAAACAUUUUCUAAGCUAAUUCACCAAGAGCCAAUGUGAUAAUUCCUUUCUUACCUCUGUUACACACUUGAUAAAACUAAGGCUCCAAUGGAUCAAGUGACAUUCUCAAGGUCACACAGCCCCAUAAAUGGACCCUGAACC